RNAcentral lists this transfer RNA (77 nucleotides) under Chloroherpeton thalassium ATCC 35110. RNAcentral's name for it is "tRNA-Arg (CCT) (tRNA-Arg-CCT-1-1)". It matches the Rfam family "tRNA". Rfam says of the family: Transfer RNA (tRNA) molecules are approximately 80 nucleotides in length. Their secondary structure includes four short double-helical elements and three loops (D, anti-codon, and T loops). Further hydrogen bonds mediate the characteristic L-shaped molecular structure. tRNAs have two regions of fundamental functional importance: the anti-codon, which is responsible for specific mRNA codon recognition, and the 3' end, to which the tRNAs corresponding amino acid is attached (by aminoacyl-tRNA synthetases). tRNAs cope with the degeneracy of the genetic code in two manners: having more than one tRNA (with a specific anti-codon) for a particular amino acid; and 'wobble' base-pairing, i.e. permitting non-standard base-pairing at the 3rd anti-codon position. The record is from RNAcentral. Lineage: Bacteria; Pseudomonadati; Chlorobiota; Chlorobiia; Chlorobiales; Chloroherpetonaceae.
GCCCUUGUAGCUCAGAAGGAUAGAGCAGCAGUUUCCUAAACUGCGUGCCGGCAGUUCGAAUCUGCCCAAGGGCACCA